RNAcentral lists this transfer RNA (71 nucleotides) under Heliconius melpomene (postman butterfly). RNAcentral's name for it is "tRNA HMEL008998". It matches the Rfam family "tRNA". Rfam says of the family: Transfer RNA (tRNA) molecules are approximately 80 nucleotides in length. The record is from RNAcentral. Lineage: Eukaryota; Metazoa; Arthropoda; Insecta; Lepidoptera; Nymphalidae.
GCAUCGGUGGUUCAGUGGUAGAAUGCUCGCCUGCCACGCGGGCGGCCCGGGUUCGAUUCCUGGUCGAUGCG